RNAcentral lists this ribosomal RNA (516 nucleotides) under uncultured bacterium. RNAcentral's name for it is "bacterial SSU rRNA". It matches the Rfam family "Bacterial small subunit ribosomal RNA", at positions 29 to 518 of the family's 1533-position model. The record is from RNAcentral.
ACGAACGCUGGCGGCGUGCCUAAUACAUGCAAGUCGAACGGUCUUUCUAUGGAAGCUUGCUUCCACUGAGAAGAUAGUGGCGAACGGGUGAGUAACACGUGGGUAACCUGCCCAUAAGAGGGGGAUAACAUCCGGAAACGGGUGCUAAUACCGCAUAGUUUUCUUGAUCGCAUGAUUGAGAAAGGAAAGAUGGCCUUUGUGCUGUCGCUUAUGGAUGGACCCGCGGCGUAUUAGUUAGUUGGUGAGGUAACAGCUCACCAAGACGAUGAUACGUAGCCGACCUGAGAGGGUGAUCGGCCACAUUGGGGCUGAGACACGGCCCAAACUCCUACGGGAGGCAGCAGUAGGGAAUCUUCCGCAAUGGACGAAAGUCUGACGGAGCAACGCCGCGUGAGUGAAAGAAGGUUUUCGGGUCGUAAAACUCUGUUGUCAGAGAAGAACAAGUUGGAGAGUAACUGCUCCAGCCUUGACGGUAUCUGACCAGAAAGCCACGGCUAACUACGUGCCAGCCGCUGC